Molecule: non-coding RNA, 453 nt
Organism: Paramuricea clavata
Lineage: Eukaryota; Metazoa; Cnidaria; Anthozoa; Malacalcyonacea; Plexauridae
Source: the annotation of a GenBank genome assembly
UAUAAAUGUAGUGGAUAAUUAUCUAUAAUAAUUAUCACUUAUUUACUGAGACCGAGGGAAACAGUGUGUUUUGUGGACCCGAGACCGUCGAUGUUUCCCGAGCCGUCGAUGUUUCCCGAGGCGAAGCCGAGCGGUCCACUCGAGGGUCCGCUUUCCCGAGGUCUCAGUAAAUAAGUGUUUUAUUACACUGGCCUGUAGGCCAAGUGUCUUAAAUCCCUCUUUUUCUGUUUUUUCCUGUUUUUUUCGUAGUCGAGAAAUCGAGUUUGCGUUAGCUCAUCGCAGGCUCAGGCUGCAACGAUUAAGCCAAAAUGCAUUCGAUACUUCGGUUCCAUAAUUUAUAUACUACAGUAAAAAGUUCGUAUUUAUGUACGUAAUAGCCGGCUCAUGCCAUGCUUGUGGUACAUUUUUUGUUUAUUAGCCCAUACACUUGUUCGCACGCGCACAAUUCCAAAC